RNAcentral lists this ribosomal RNA (324 nucleotides) under uncultured eukaryote. RNAcentral describes it as "partial 18S ribosomal RNA". It matches the Rfam family "Eukaryotic small subunit ribosomal RNA", at positions 1470 to 1796 of the family's 1831-position model. The record is from RNAcentral.
CCCUUAGAUGUUCUGGGCUGCACGCGCGCUACACUGAAGCGUUCAACGAGUAUUCACCUUGCCCGGGAGGGUUGGGUAAUCUUUUGAAAACGCUUCGUGAUGGGGAUAGAUUAUUGCAAUUAUUAAUCUUCAACGAGGAAUUCCUAGUAAGCGCGAGUCAUCAGCUUGCAUUGAUUACGUCCCUGCCCUUUGUACACACCGCCCGUCGCACCUACCGAUUGAAUGGUCCGGUGAAAUCUCCGGACUGGCGUGAGUCGGAGCAAUCUGACAAACACCGGAAAGUUGAUUAAACCUUACCAUUUAGAGGAAGGUGAAGUCGUAACA